This is a long non-coding RNA of Leopardus geoffroyi (Geoffroy's cat), 1428 nucleotides long. RefSeq lists it as uncharacterized. The record is from RefSeq and is a predicted model, not a curated record. NCBI's taxonomy places the organism in Eukaryota, Metazoa, Chordata, Mammalia, Carnivora, Felidae. The transcript has 3 exons.
CUGCUCCCUCCUCCAGCAGCACCUCAGCCGUCCCCCGGAUCUCGCCGCUCUUUCUUCCUGCCCACCCGCACGGCCGUCUGUCCCGAGAGUCGCCUCAGCCUGGUGACCCCCAAGCUGCCGGUCCUCGUCCCUGAGCCGCUACACUGACUGCAGCCUGGUGAUGAGGGGGCCUGGGGCCUGUAGUGUAACAGAUUCCCUGUCUGCUCUGCACGUGCCAGCACAAGAGAGCUAUAAAUAGGGCCCAGGCCCAGGCAUCCUUUGUGGAGAACGAGCCACAAACUUCAGGAGAGGCCAUGUUACCCCGGCAGCAGCCGUGUAUGGGGCCUGGGCUGAUGCUGGAGCCAGAGCAGUGAGGCCCUGCCCAACCCUCUCCCUACCCCAGGGAGCAGGAGCCACCAAUGGAGACAUGCCAUCUCCUCCCUCGUCUGCAGCCCACCUGGCACUCAGGAAGCGGCCCAGAGGCUGAGCCCACACCCCGAAGGGAGCCCCUGCCCUGAGGAAAAUUCUUAAGUCCUCUGCGAAUGUCUGGAAAGAACCACAGGAAGAAGGCAGAGGUGUGGCCUGGAUCAUUCCGAGCUGCCUGGCCCCAGAUGCCCCGAUGCAGGCUUGGAGGUCCUUGAGACGCCCGGAGAGGGAGCAGAGGCAGCGUCUGAACUGGGAAGGAGGGUGUGGGGUGGACACAUCGGGGAACGAAAGCCCUGGAGCCACCGGCACAUCCAGGACAGUUCAGCCUCCUGCCCUUGGGCCGAGCGAGACCCUUGACCCGAGCGAGACCCUUGACCCGUGUCCCCCAGAGCAGGAUGACAGGAUGGUGAGCUCCUCCGGGCUCUCUCUGAUCAGCCCUGGUGGUUCCUUAUCCGGAGCCUGAGCCGGGCAGUGCUGUGACACCUUGACUUAGGACAGGAUGCCUUGUGAGACAGACAUGUCUAACUGUUGGAAAGAGGGGACAGGGCCAGGGAAGAGGGCGUGGAGGCUAAUAACCCCUGAUGUCUGGCAACGCUGUCAUCCAGAAACCUGACUCAGACAGCGUGGCAUGAACUGCUGGGUCCCGUAACAUGGUCCCAGAAUCCAAUCCACUCAUUCUGCGAAGGGGCAGUGACCCCCUCAGACAGUGGGGUGGGGUAUGAAUGAGUGGAAAACACACUGUCUUUGGUGGAUCCGGAGGGCACGUGGACCCUAGAGUCCAGAGCCUUCCAUGGGCAAAGGUCUCCACAGUGGGUGGCUAAGGAGACCACUUGGGACUUACUGCCACGGUUGCCACUUCCACGUAGCUAACCCAGGGCAAUCUGUAGUUUACACCUGACCCGGAGAUCUGAGUUCAUCCUGUCUCCUCUCUGUGAGCCUCCUGGGGCCUUGGGGUGGGGUAGCACGGCUGUGUGCCCGAGUGCACGCGGGAUUAAACCCAGGACCCGAGCCCAUGGACACGGA